UUGGAAGAGUUUGAUCCUGGCUCAGGAUGAACGCUGGCGGCGUGCCUAAUACAUGCAAGUCGAACGAGUUCUCGUUGAUGAUCGGUGCUUGCACCGAGAUUCAACAUGGAACGAGUGGCGGACGGGUGAGUAACACGUGGGUAACCUGCCCUUAAGUGGGGGAUAACAUUUGGAAACAGAUGCUAAUACCGCAUAGAUCCAAGAACCGCAUGGUUCUUGGCUGAAAGAUGGCGUAAGCUAUCGCUUUUGGAUGGACCCGCGGCGUAUUAGCUAGUUGGUGAGGUAAUGGCUCACCAAGGCGAUGAUACGUAGCCGAACUGAGAGGUUGAUCGGCCACAUUGGGACUGAGACACGGCCCAAACUCCUACGGGAGGCAGCAGUAGGGAAUCUUCCACAAUGGACGCAAGUCUGAUGGAGCAACGCCGCGUGAGUGAAGAAGGCUUUCGGGUCGUAAAACUCUGUUGUUGGAGAAGAAUGGUCGGCAGAGUAACUGUUGUCGGGCGUGACGGU
Molecule: ribosomal RNA, 510 nt
Filed under: Lacticaseibacillus paracasei subsp. paracasei
Lineage: Bacteria; Bacillati; Bacillota; Bacilli; Lactobacillales; Lactobacillaceae
Description: bacterial SSU rRNA
Rfam family: Bacterial small subunit ribosomal RNA
Source: RNAcentral